GAUCAGGCUCAGGACGAACGCUGGCGGCGUGCCUAAUACAUGCAAGUAGAACGCUGAAGGAGGAGCUUGCUUCUCCGGAUGAGUUGCGAACGGGUGAGUAACGCGUAGGUAACCUGCCUGGUAGCGGGGGAUAACUAUUGGAAACGAUAGCUAAUACCGCAUAAGAGUAGAUGUUGCAUGACAUUUGCUUAAAAGGUGCAAUUGCACCACUACCAGAUGGACCUGCGUUGUA
RNAcentral lists this ribosomal RNA (232 nucleotides) under uncultured bacterium. RNAcentral's name for it is "partial 16S ribosomal RNA". It matches the Rfam family "Bacterial small subunit ribosomal RNA", at positions 15 to 240 of the family's 1533-position model. The record is from RNAcentral.